GCAAGGUUGAAACUCAAAGGAAUUGACGGGGGCCCGCACAAGCGGAGGAGCAUGUGGUUUAAUUCGAUGAUACGCGAGGAACCUUACCUAGACUUAAAUGUAGAUUGCAUAGUUAAGAGAUUAGCUUUUCCUUCGGGACUAUUUACAAGGUGCUGCAUGGUUGUCGUCAGCUCGUGCCGUGAGGUGUCGGGUUAAGUCCCAUAACGAGCGCAACCCCUAUUCUUAGUUGCCAGCAUGUAAUGAUGGGGACUCUAAGAAAACUGCCGGCGCAAGCCGAGAGGAAGGUGGGGAUGACGUCAAAUCAGCACGGCCCUUACGUCUAGGGCUACACACGUGCUACAAUGGCCUGUACAGAGGGCAGCUACCUCGUGAGAGGAUGCGAAUCUCCAAAGCAGGUCUCAGUUCGGAUCGCAGUCUGCAACUCGACUGCGUGAAGUUGGAUUCGCUAGUAAUCGUAGAUCAGCAACGCUACGGUGAAUACGUUCCCGGGCCUUGUACACACCGCCCGUCAAACAAUGGAAGCUGGGGGUACCUAAAGUCCGUAACCGCAAGGGGCGGCCUAGGGUAAAACUGGUAACUGGUGUUAAGUCGUAACAAGGUA
This 601-nucleotide ribosomal RNA is filed under the name uncultured bacterium. Its description in RNAcentral is "bacterial SSU rRNA". It matches the Rfam family "Bacterial small subunit ribosomal RNA", at positions 888 to 1498 of the family's 1533-position model. The record is from RNAcentral.